CGAAGUAUAGCAUAUAUAAUGCUUUUUACUUACACUAAAAAUAAAGUUAAUACUUGCUUCGC
Molecule: transfer RNA, 62 nt
Filed under: Amynthas carnosus
Lineage: Eukaryota; Metazoa; Annelida; Clitellata; Crassiclitellata; Megascolecidae
Also listed under: 1 other name
Description: tRNA-Val
Source: RNAcentral